GUUUCUUCUACUUUCAUUUUGUUUCUUCCAAAUUAAUCUCUUUCUUCACUGUUCUUUUUUGUUGUUGUUUCUGUUCAUAGUUGUUAGAUCUUAUGUCUUUUCAAGUCCGAAUCUUAAAAACUUGAUAGUAUAUCUCUUUUCAUUUGAUUAAACCCAUCCACACAAAUUCCAGCUCUCGAGACUAUACAUUAUUGUUCGAUCUUCUCCGUAGCUUUGUGACAACAGAAUCUAGCUAGGGUUUCGUUUUUUUUUUUUUAAUUUUCUUUUAUUCUUUGUUUUUAAGUCUUUGGUUCAUAAUUUUUCUGCUACAAAACAACAACUGUACAUCACCAUCAUUAAGAGAAACCCAUCUGCCUCUUUCUCAAUCUCAUAAAUAUUCUCACCGUUCGCUUCUCUCUCAUCUAAAUGUUCUCUCUCUCUCUCUCUCUCUUUUUUUCCUCCUCAAGAAAAAAACCCUUUUCCAUUUUACAUUUGACAGAAAGGAAAUGAGUGAUUUUUUUUGGAUCUUUAACCUUUUUGGUCAUGCAGGUUUUGACAAAAGAGUCUCUUACAGAGAUCUUUGGCAUUCUGUCCACCUCCUCUCUUUAUCCUGUAUAUGUGUGUAGUAAGGGUAUACGUAAUUUCGUUGUGUUUUGUGAAGGGGAGGUGGGCAUACUGCCAAUAGAGAUCUGUUAGGGUUUCUUUGUAAAACCCCUCAUGAUGUAUUCAAGAUCACCCGAUGAAUAUUAAGGUUUGAAGAAUAGUAGGUUUAGGAAUAGUGGUGGCGUUUGAGACGUUUACAUCAUCUAGGAAAGGUAAACUAUUCAUAAAGUAAGAGGACCCAUGACUCCCAAUAAAGGUACAGGUAGAUUGAAAUCACAGGAGAAUAUGGUAAUGAAAAGGAGAAUUUACUCUUCCUUUUUAUGUUCUUGAAGUGAAGCCCACACAAUGUUAUGAUGAUGUCUUCUUUUCCUUAAGUUGGAAUCUAUAUCUAUAGUAUGUGGUUAUUUUGUUUAUAAGUACAAAUUGCAUGUUUCUAUCUUCUGAUGUUAUAUAUACAUGUGUUCAGUCUGACAAUAUGGUAUACGAAAAAUCAAGUUCAACCUUCAAGUUGGAAUGUAAAUGCAUUUAUA
Long non-coding RNA from Camelina sativa (false flax), 1112 nucleotides. RefSeq lists it as uncharacterized. The record is from RefSeq and is a predicted model, not a curated record. Lineage: Eukaryota; Viridiplantae; Streptophyta; Magnoliopsida; Brassicales; Brassicaceae.